UCCGGAGGGUGCGAUCGUUAAUCGGAAUUACUGGGCGUAAAGCGCACGUAGGCGGUCGGAUAAGUCGGAUGUGAAAGCCCUGGGCUUAACCUGGGAACUGCAUUCGAUACUGUCUGGCUAGAGUAUGGGAGAGGGAAGCAGAAUUUCCGGUGUAGCGGUGAAAUGCGUAGAUAUCGGAAGGAAUACCAAUGGCGAAGGCAGCUUCCUGGCCCAAUACUGACGCUCAGGUGCGAAAGCGUGGGGAUAAAACAGG
This 253-nucleotide ribosomal RNA is filed under the name uncultured bacterium. RNAcentral describes it as "partial 16S ribosomal RNA". It matches the Rfam family "Bacterial small subunit ribosomal RNA", at positions 524 to 776 of the family's 1533-position model. The record is from RNAcentral.